CUGCCAAGGGCAUGGCUGGGUAGCUAUGUACGGAAUGGAUAAGCGCUGAAAGCAUCUAAGCGCGAAGCCAACUUCAAGAUAAGAUUUCCCACCGCAAGGGUAAGACCCCAGAAAGACUAUCUGGUUGAUAGGUCGAAGGUGUAAGUGCAGUAAUGUAUUUAGCUUAUCGAUACUAAUAGGUCGAGGACUUGACCAA
Molecule: ribosomal RNA, 196 nt
Filed under: Clostridioides difficile
Lineage: Bacteria; Bacillati; Bacillota; Clostridia; Peptostreptococcales; Peptostreptococcaceae
Description: partial 23S ribosomal RNA
Rfam family: Bacterial large subunit ribosomal RNA
Source: RNAcentral